Molecule: long non-coding RNA, 449 nt
Organism: Arachis duranensis
Lineage: Eukaryota; Viridiplantae; Streptophyta; Magnoliopsida; Fabales; Fabaceae
Exons: 3
Source: RefSeq, a predicted model, not a curated record
GCUGUUUGUUGUAUUUGGGGAUUUUAGCUUUUGAAUGUGUAUUAUCUCUGAUUGUUAGGGUUCUAGGUUCUGAUUGUGGUGUUUUUAAGAGACGUUCUUGAGGCACACUAGUCCAAUCAGCCGAUGUUGCUUCUCUGCUUCCGGGAACAAUAUUGCUAGUGCUUCUCUAGAUGGAACUGUUAGUGUCUUGGACAUAAAGUGCAGUCAUGUGGAACCUAUUUUUGUAUCUGCAGCAGCAUCUGGAGGGAUAAAGUAGCACAAUUAUAAGAACAUAUGCAAGACAAUUCUAUAUAUAUGAAUGCAUGGCUCAAUGUGGUUCAGUCAAUUUAACUUUCUUUUGCACUCAUUCCACUUCUUACAUUGGUGUCUAAGGAAGAGGUCAUGGGUACUUUUAGAAUAGGCCUAUUGUAGAGGAAAGCUUUGUUUGCAUUCUAACUUUUGUAGAAUUG